AUUGAACGCUGGCGGCGUGCCUAACACAUGCAAGUCGAGCGGUAACAGGUGUAGCAAUACAUGCUGACGAGCGGCGGACGGGUGAGUAACGCUUGGGAAUCUGCCUGUUAGUGGGGGACAACCCGGGGAAACUCGGGCUAAUACCGCAUACGCACUACGGUGGAAAGCCGGGGACCGCAAGGCCUGGCGCUAACAGAUGAGCCCAAGUCGGAUUAGCUAGUUGGUAGGGUAACGGCCACCAAGGCGACGAUCCGUAACUGGUCUGAGAGGACGACCAGUCACACCGGAACUGAGACACGGUCCGGACUCCUACGGGAGGCAGCAGUGGGGAAUAUUGGACAAUGGGCGAAAGCCUGAUCCAGCGACGCCGCGUGGGUGAAG
Molecule: ribosomal RNA, 381 nt
Filed under: uncultured bacterium
Lineage: Bacteria
Description: bacterial SSU rRNA
Rfam family: Bacterial small subunit ribosomal RNA
Source: RNAcentral